UACGGAGGGUGCAAGCGUUAAUCGGAAUUACUGGGCGUAAAGCGCGCGUAGGCGGUUUGAUAAGUCGGAUGUGAAAGCCCUGGGCUUAACCUGGGAAUUGCAUUCGAUACUGUCUGACUGGAGUAUGGUAGAGGGAAGUGGAAUUUCCGGUGUAGCGGUGAAAUGCGUAGAUAUCGGAAGGAACACCAGUGGCGAAGGCGACUUCCUGGGCCAAUACUGACGCUGAGGCGCGAAAGCGUGGGGAGCAAACAGGAUUAGAUACCCCAGUAGUCC
Molecule: ribosomal RNA, 273 nt
Filed under: uncultured bacterium
Lineage: Bacteria
Description: partial 16S ribosomal RNA
Rfam family: Bacterial small subunit ribosomal RNA
Source: RNAcentral